RNAcentral lists this long non-coding RNA (352 nucleotides) under Ricinus communis (castor bean). RNAcentral describes it as "long non-coding RNA (RCOM_LNC001097)". Lineage: Eukaryota; Viridiplantae; Streptophyta; Magnoliopsida; Malpighiales; Euphorbiaceae. The record is from RNAcentral.
AUGAUCCAAAAAGUUUAUCCCUCUCUCUCUCUGCUGAUGCUUUUUUUUUUUUUUGGUUAUCUGCUUCUCUCUCGGCCAUCAGUUUCUUGUUCUUGAUUGAAUCUUUUUAACUGCUUAUUAGAGAUUCAUUAGCACCUUCUUCUUUUUCUUUUUGUUAUUUUAUUGUAUCUUUUAUGGCAAUUUUAGUUUCUCGGUUGUAAUUCCAAGAAACUCUGCGAAUUCUUUUGAGUGUAGAAUUUGGAGGGAGCAGCUGAUAUUAUUAUAGUUGGGAGUGAAGUGUGUAAAAGAUCUUUGAUUUGUUAUUUUUUCAAGGAAGGUACCAAGAUGGUGCUUUUAGUAGUCUUAGUGGAUU